UACGGAGGAUCCAAGCGUUGUCCGGAUUUAUUGGGUUUAAAGGGUGCGUAGGCGGAUCUUUAAGUCAGUGGUGAAAGCCUGCAGCUUAACUGUAGAAUUGCCAUUGAAACUGAAGAUCUUGAAUUUGGUUAAAGUAGGCGGAAUGUAUCAUGUAGCGGUGAAAUGCUUAGAUAUGAUACAGAACACCGAUAGCGAAGGCAGCUUGCUGAGCCAAUAUUGACGCUGAGGCACGAAAGCGUGGGGAUCGAACAGG
RNAcentral lists this ribosomal RNA (253 nucleotides) under uncultured bacterium. RNAcentral's name for it is "partial 16S ribosomal RNA". It matches the Rfam family "Bacterial small subunit ribosomal RNA", at positions 524 to 776 of the family's 1533-position model. The record is from RNAcentral.